RNAcentral lists this long non-coding RNA (1125 nucleotides) under Gopherus agassizii (Agassiz's desert tortoise). RNAcentral describes it as "lncRNA (ENSGAGG00000014521.1)". Lineage: Eukaryota; Metazoa; Chordata; Testudines; Testudinidae. The record is from RNAcentral.
UACAUCAGCGACAGUUCUGAGGAGGAGGAGGGUGUGACCGCGAGGAGCCCUUUGGCCCAACCUUUGUUGGAUACGCUGGAAUCCGACCCCGAAACUCUCGUGAGACACCCCAAAGAGCCUGAUGGCCUCUCUUUGUCCACCCCCUCAGAUCGCCACUUGGGAGAGUCACCGGUGGACAAGGCAAACGGAAAAGAUGGUGCUCAAGUAAAUGAACUAUUAAGAAACGGAGGUGGGGAUGGGUGGGUAAUGAGGCAAGGAACUGGGGGUUUGUGUAAAUUAAAAAAAAACCCAGCAGCUUUGGUACUUACACUGUUUCUUUUUCUGAAAAUCUUUCAGCAGCUCGACAAUGCCUUUCUAGAGGACCCAGAGCCCCUGGACAGCGUUGCAUCAAGCAGCGAAGAUGAACUGGGCCCACCAUGUUUUUGCUCAACACCAAUACAAAUUGUUGAAGAGGGCUCCAAGGAUGGUGGGUUUGAGGAGUUUAGAAGGAGGCUUGGCAUAGAACUAUCUGAGCCAGUGCCACGUCGUGAGCAUAAAAAAGUUAUGUGUACUAUUGUACGCGUUUCUGUUUAUGCUGUCCUUAAAAACUGCCUUAGGGAAAAGCUUUUUGAAGAUUGUGAGGGCCGUGUCAUAGAUGCGCCAGGCCAACGGCACCAUGACUAUGUGACUUGGACUUCAGUGGAUAUAAACUGCAAGCUCUGGGCCCUGUGUGCUGAGCUGUGUUUGGAAAGCUUACUAAACACUGUUAUUGCCAUAGGUUAUGCUAUGCAAUGUCUGUGCCUAACUCAAGAACAUUUAGCACAAGGGGUGACUUUGAUAAAUGCUGUGCAAUUCAGUGGAGACCCUGACCGUGUUUUAAAGAAAAUGACUAAGCCGGAAGAUGCCUGCUUACAACGUUAUAUUGACCGUCUAGUUCGCACAAGAAGUUACAGAGCCCUGCUUAAGAAAAAGACUAUUUGUAAGAAAUCUAAAAGGAUUAAGUUAGAGAAUGGUGGGGGUGCAAACAUGCGAUAUAAAACUUGGUAGCUGUAAAUUUUAAAAAAAGGGGCUUUUGUGACUAUUUGUGUUUUGUUAGAAUGCCUUUGACCCUUAAGUUUUAAUGAAGCAUCUUGGUUUGUUUUUAAG